GAUAAAGAACGUAGCGAAAUGCGAUAAGUAAUGUGAAUUGCAGAAUUCAGUGAAUCAUCGAAUCUUUGAACGCACAUUGCGCCCGCCAGUAUUCUGGCGGGCAUGCCUGUUCGAGCGUCAUUUCAACCAUCAAGCCCCCGGGCUUGUGUUGGGGACCUGCGGCUGCCGCAGGCCCUGAAAAGCAGUGGCGGGCUCGCUGUCACACCGAGCGUAGUAGAUUUUAUCUCGCUCAGGGCGUGCUGCGGGUUCCGGCCGUUAAACCACCUUCAUAACCCAAGGUUGACCUCGGAUCAGGUAGGAAGACCCGCUGAACUUAAGCAUAUCAAUAAGCGGAGGA
This 337-nucleotide unclassified non-coding RNA is filed under the name soil metagenome. Its description in RNAcentral is "partial contains 5.8S ribosomal RNA, internal transcribed spacer 2, and large subunit ribosomal RNA". The stretch from base 1 to 120 matches the Rfam family "5.8S ribosomal RNA", at positions 35 to 154 of the family's 154-position model. The record is from RNAcentral.